CAAAAACUGGGGUUUCUUUAGAAGAGCCAUUCCUGAAAAUCUUCCCUCCUGCCCAGUACAGAUUGGGCCUGAGGGGGGUGUAGAGAUCAGAUUGUGUUAAUAGUAGAGCUUGCCUACCACAAGUAGAACUUUGUAAGAUUUUAUAAACAACUUGUGGAGGUGUGUUCAAUUGGCACAUAAAACGCACAAGCCAGAGGAAGGUGGAACCAGGGUUUCUCCUUUGUGGCACAGUGCCAGGAUCAUAACUGCUUUAGGUAAACACAGCUCAGCCUCUGGACUGUUGAUUCAGGUGCUUUGGAAAACAAUAUACAGUUAGGAUUGCUGUUUUAGAUAGUGCCCUGAUACAAUUUUUUUUGUUUUAUGGUUUUUCUCUGCAGAGGUAUGUAUGCCACAGAGCUGCAUCAACACACAUGUGGACGAGUUGAUAGCAAUGCCUUAUGAAUGAAUGAGGCUGUGCGUAGGAUGCAAGUUGUUCACAACAAGACCAUUUCCCAACCUGCUGUCCUCCAAAGGAUUUCGUGCCAGAAGGAAAGCGAUAAUUGGGGAUCCAGAAAGAUGCUGACAGAAAGACUGCUUCUGGAGAAAGGACCUCACUAGAUGGAAAAUACCUUUUUUUAUAAAUUAUGAAAUUGAUGCUUUAUGAAUUGUAGCCCAUCAUGUGCAAGAUCUGAAAUAGAUACAAACUGUGACUGAAGAAAUUGGAGCCUAUCCCCUUUAGUCAUGUGGAAAGCCAGAAAGAUAUAAAUCCAUCAUGUAAAAACCUAUCUUCAUAUCUCUUCAACUUCACCGAAGUUUUGAUCUAAGCUU
Molecule: long non-coding RNA, 807 nt
Filed under: Notechis scutatus (mainland tiger snake)
Lineage: Eukaryota; Metazoa; Chordata; Lepidosauria; Squamata; Elapidae
Description: lncRNA (ENSNSUG00000009914.1)
Source: RNAcentral